GCCCAGAUAGCUCAGUUGGUAGAGCAGCGGAUUGAAAAUACGCGUGUCGCUGGUUCGAUUCCGGCUCUGGGCA
RNAcentral lists this transfer RNA (73 nucleotides) under Cereibacter sphaeroides 2.4.1. RNAcentral describes it as "Rhodobacter sphaeroides 2.4.1 tRNA". It matches the Rfam family "tRNA". From Rfam's summary of the family: Transfer RNA (tRNA) molecules are approximately 80 nucleotides in length. Their secondary structure includes four short double-helical elements and three loops (D, anti-codon, and T loops). Further hydrogen bonds mediate the characteristic L-shaped molecular structure. tRNAs have two regions of fundamental functional importance: the anti-codon, which is responsible for specific mRNA codon recognition, and the 3' end, to which the tRNAs corresponding amino acid is attached (by aminoacyl-tRNA synthetases). tRNAs cope with the degeneracy of the genetic code in two manners: having more than one tRNA (with a specific anti-codon) for a particular amino acid; and 'wobble' base-pairing, i.e. permitting non-standard base-pairing at the 3rd anti-codon position. The record is from Rfam by way of RNAcentral. Lineage: Bacteria; Pseudomonadati; Pseudomonadota; Alphaproteobacteria; Rhodobacterales; Paracoccaceae.